RNAcentral lists this ribosomal RNA (478 nucleotides) under uncultured beta proteobacterium. RNAcentral's name for it is "bacterial SSU rRNA". It matches the Rfam family "Bacterial small subunit ribosomal RNA", at positions 246 to 716 of the family's 1533-position model. The record is from RNAcentral. Lineage: Bacteria; Pseudomonadati; Pseudomonadota; Betaproteobacteria.
UAGUUGGUGGGGUAAUGGCCUACCAAGGCUUCGAUCAGUAGCUGGUCUGAGAGGACGACCAGCCACACUGGAACUGAGACACGGUCCAGACUCCUACGGGAGGCAGCAGUGGGGAAUUUUGGACAAUGGGCGCAAGCCUGAUCCAGCCAUUCCGCGUGAGUGAAGAAGGCCUUCGGGUUGUAAAGCUCUUUCGCAAGGGAAGAAAACUUACUUUCUAAUAAAGAGUGAGGCUGACGGUACCUUGAUAAGAAGCACCGGCUAACUACGUGCCAGCAGCCGCGGUAAUACGUAGGGUGCGAGCGUUAAUCGGAAUUACUGGGCGUAAAGCGUGCGCAGGCGGUUUGGCAAGUCAGAUGUGAAAUCCCCGAGCUCAACUUGGGAACUGCGUUUGAAACUGCCAGACUAGAAUAUGUCAGAGGGGGGUAGAAUUCCACGUGUAGCAGUGAAAUGCGUAGAGCUGUGGAGGAAUACCAAUGGC